CACUCCAACCCAAUGUGAACGUUACCAAUCUGUUGCCUCGGCGGGAUUCUCUGCCCCGGGCGCGUCGCAGCCCCGGAUCCCAUGGCGCCCGCCGGAGGACCAACUCAAACUCUUUUUUCUCUCCGUCGCGGCCUACGUCGCGGCUCUGUUUUAUUUUUGCUCUGAGCCUUUCUCGGCGACCCUAGCGGGCGUCUCGAAAAUGAAUCAAAACUUUCAACAACGGAUCUCUUGGUUCUGGCAUCGAUGAAGAACGCAGCGAAAUGCGAUAAGUAAUGUGAAUUGCAGAAUUCAGUGAAUCAUCGAAUCUUUGAACGCACAUUGCGCCCGCCAGUAUUCUGGCGGGCAUGCCUGUCCGAGCGUCAUUUCAACCCUCGAACCCCUCCGGGGGGUCGGCGUUGGGGAUCGGCCCCUCACCGGGCCGCCCCCGAAAUACAGUGGCGGUCUCGCCGCAGCCUCUCCUGCGCAGUAGUUUGCACACUCGCACCGGGAGCGCGGCGCGGCCACAGCCGUAAAACACCCCAAACUCUGAAAUGUUGACCUCGGAUCAGGUAGGAAUACCCGCUGAACUUAAGCAUAUCUAANCCCGGGAAGAAAA
RNAcentral lists this ribosomal RNA (595 nucleotides) under Trichoderma citrinoviride. RNAcentral's name for it is "eukaryotic LSU rRNA". The stretch from base 209 to 362 matches the Rfam family "5.8S ribosomal RNA". The record is from RNAcentral. Lineage: Eukaryota; Fungi; Ascomycota; Sordariomycetes; Hypocreales; Hypocreaceae.